This 280-nucleotide ribosomal RNA is filed under the name uncultured archaeon. RNAcentral's name for it is "partial 16S rRNA". It matches the Rfam family "Archaeal small subunit ribosomal RNA", at positions 347 to 631 of the family's 1478-position model. The record is from RNAcentral.
ACUUUACKAUGCGGGAAACCGUGAUAAGGGAACUCCGAGUGCCCGUUAAAUCGGGCUGUCCACCAGUUUAAACAACUGGUGAAGAAAGGGCCGGGCAAGACCGGUGCCAGCCGCCGCGGUAAUACCGGCGGCUCGAGUGGUGGCCACUAUUACUGGGCUUAAAGCGUUCGUAGCUGGUCUGUUAAGUCUCUGGGGAAAUCUACCGGCUUAACCGGUAGGCGUCUCAGGGAUACUGGCAGACUAGGGACCGRGAGAGGUGAGAGGUACUCCAKGGGUAGGA